CCCUGUUACUCACCCCUCCUUUCCUUCCCCUUUCAGAUGAGACUGACGAGCAAUAGUGAUUGCUAUCGGGCUGGUGCUUUGGGAGUUUUAUUUCUGUCUUUUUCAGACUUGCGGAUUUUAUGCUUUUAUUGAUAUUUUCGGGAUUUAUUAUGUUAUUUGGAUUUAUGGCUAUUUAUUGGAUUUACGACUUUGGAGUUGACUUUUGAGAAAUAAUAAAUGGAGAUUUCAGAUUUUUUAUUUAUUUAAGUUAUUUCGGAAAAUACGGGUGUUAUAAUUUGGUAUCAGAGCGGGGUUCCGUUCCAGCUCUGACCCGGGAUGGCGAUUUGUUGGGACGUGGUUUCGACUCGGUUUUGACUCGGUUUUAAUUCGGUUUAAUCGAUUUUAAAAGAUUUUUGAAUCGGGGAUUUGGGAGUUUUAAAGAAAGAAAAAUACAACACCUUUCCGUUCAGUAACUUCUAACCCAAUUGUCUUUUUAUUGACGAUGAGUUUAUCAUCGCCAUCCGCUCUCUAGCUAACAAGGUUUCAGCCAGAUGUUCGAGAGAUGGAUGAUGUCACAGUUUGAUAGAUUGCUCAGGUGUGUAUCAGUUUCGUCAGCCGUGUUCAGAAAUUGUCCACAUGUGGAUGUGUGACGUUG
This 634-nucleotide long non-coding RNA is filed under the name Brassica napus (rape). RNAcentral's name for it is "long non-coding RNA (BNAP_LNC025320)". The record is from RNAcentral. Lineage: Eukaryota; Viridiplantae; Streptophyta; Magnoliopsida; Brassicales; Brassicaceae.